RNAcentral lists this ribosomal RNA (500 nucleotides) under uncultured bacterium. RNAcentral's name for it is "partial 16S ribosomal RNA". It matches the Rfam family "Bacterial small subunit ribosomal RNA", at positions 30 to 523 of the family's 1533-position model. The record is from RNAcentral.
AUUGAACGCUGGCGGCAUGCCUUACACAUGCAAGUCGAACGGCAGCACGGGAGCAAUCCUGGUGGCGAGUGGCGAACGGGUGAGUAAAGUAUCGGAACGUGCCCAGUCGUGGGGGAUAACGUAGCGAAAGUUACGCUAAUACCGCAUACGAUCUAUGGAUGAAAGCGGGGGAUCGCAAGACCUCGCGCGAUUGGAGCGGCCGAUAUCAGAUUAGGUAGUUGGUGGGGUAAAGGCUCACCAAGCCGACGAUCUGUAGCUGGUCGGAGAGGACGACCAGCCACACUGGGACUGAGACACGGCCCAGACUCCUACGGGAGGCAGCAGUGGGGAAUUUUGGACAAUGGGCGAAAGCCUGAUCCAGCCAUGCCGCGUGCAGGAUGAAGGCCUUCGGGUUGUAAACUGCUUUUGUACGGAACGAAAAGGUUUGGCCUAAUAAGCUGAGCUCAUGACGGUACUGUAAGAAUAAGCACCGGCUAACUACGUGCCAGCAGCCGCCGUAA